This is a long non-coding RNA of Phyllostomus discolor (pale spear-nosed bat), 1915 nucleotides long. RefSeq lists it as uncharacterized. The record is from RefSeq and is a predicted model, not a curated record. NCBI's taxonomy places the organism in Eukaryota, Metazoa, Chordata, Mammalia, Chiroptera, Phyllostomidae. The transcript is spliced from 2 exons.
GCCCAUGUAUGAUGCACAUUCUUAUUUUUCCCUAAAAAAUUCAGGCAAAAUAAUGUGCGUUAUACAUGGCAUAAUACAGUAGUUAGAGUCUUAGACAAUAGAACCAAACAUGCAGGAUAAUUCACGCAUACUAGAAUUGUUAAAAGCUUUAAAAAGUUGAAAAAUUCUAUUUAAAAGAUUAUUUAAUUUUUUUUCAUUAUCAAACAAAAGUGAAAACUUAAAAAAAAAUCUUGGUCACAUUCAAAGGAGCUGUUUAUCUCAUUACAAGCCUCACACAUACAUCAGAUUUGACAGUGAUCACAAAGUGGCAGGUAUAUAAUUGAAUAAAGGAAUCAAAUUAUUUGAGAUACUUACUUAGUUUACGGAGUAGCAGGAUCAUAUACCUAUUUAAGUGAACAACUAGGGGUAAUAAAUAGAUUUUAUAAGGCUAGAAAACAUUGUGUUACAAAAUAGCACAGGUGAUUUUGUGAUAUAUAACACAACUGCUAUUAAAUCCCAUUACAACCUAAUGUUGUUUCCCCCAACAUUUUACUAGGCAGUUUUGAAACAUAUAUCAAAGUUGGAGGAAUUUUAUAAUAACUAUACCCACAUCUAGAUUCUGCCUUUAACAUAUCAUUCUACCCACCACCUCUUCGCCUGUCUGUAUCCUCUCUGCAUCCAGCAAUUCUUAUUUCCUUUUGAUGCAUUUUAAAGUUAAUCGUAGACAGUACACUUUCUCCUAUAUUUUAGUGUGCCUAUCAUUAACCAGAGUUAAUAUGUUUAUGGUGUUUUUUGAGGUAAAAAUAAUACAAUUAAAUGCACACAUCUUAAGUGUAUAUUUGCUGAGCUUUGUCAAAUGCAUACCUCCAAGCUCUUCUCAAGAUAAAGAACAUUCCACCACUCCAGACAGCUCCUUCAUGCUCUUUGCAGUUGGUCUCUGCUCCCUUCCCUUACCCAGUGCAACUACUUUUCUGUUUCUUUUCCACCACAGAUUAGUUUUGCCUGUUCCAGAACUAAAUGUAAAUGGAAUCAUACAGUCUGUACUCUUCUAUCUAGGCUCCUUUUGCUGUGCACAUUGAUUUUGAAAUUCAUCCAUUUGUGCAUAUCAGUACUGUUAACUUUUUACAGCUGAGUAGUGUUCCUCAUCUGACCAUACCUCAGUUUGUUUAUCCAUCUUCCUCUUAAUGGAUUCCUGAGCUGUUGACAGCUUUUGGCUCUUCUGAAUGAAGCUGUUAGGAAUAUUCUCAUACAGGUCUUUUUGUAGACACAUUUUAAUUUUUCCUGGGAUAAAGAGUAGAAUUGUUGGACUCCAGGAUUAAUGUAUGUUUAAGUUUUAUACUAGACCUUUUUCUGUGGUUGUACCAUUUCACAUACCCACCAACACUGUAUGAGAGAUGUGGUUGCUCCACAUCCUUGGCAACUUUGGUGUUGUGUUUUCAAUGAUCUAACUUUAAGCAUUGUCAUUUAUAAAUGAUUGGAAGAAAAGUGAUACCUAUUAGUUUUUAUUAUUCUCCUAGGUAGGAAUUAAAAAAUUAAUUAUAUUGCUUAUUUAUUGUUCUAAUCAUUUCUUUUUUUUAAGCUUUUUAUUUUGACAUACAUGCAGGCUUACAGAAAGUUGCCCUAGACCAUUAUUCAGCAUUUGACAGUUUUCACCAGUUUUUAAUUUAAAUAUUCUUUUCCUUCCUGUGUAAGAAACCAUUAUCUCAUGGUUUUUCACCAACCACUCAUUGCAGUUUCUCUGCAUGAUUUUCAUUCUCUGCAGAGUCCUUGUAGUUAUUCCCUGUUUUAGCCUUAAUACUCUGUUUUUUAUUCUGUUGAAUUCUUCUGGGUCAUUUUACUCAAACCCAUAGCUUCAACUGCUACCUGUGCUCUGACCCCUAAAUCUGCUUCUGCAGCCCAGAUCUCUUUCUUCACUCUUAGCUGUAAACUAUGUAUA